CGCAUCUGUGCAUGCAGCAUAUCAAUAAGCGGAGGAAAAGAAACUAACAAGGAUUCCCCUAGUAACGGCGAGUGAAGCGGGAAGAGCUCAAAUUUGAAAUCUUAAAGGGUUUCCCUUUACGAAUUGUAGUUUAAAGAAGUGUUUUCUGUUGAGGUUUUGGUAAAAGUUCUUUGGAAUAGGACAUCAUAGAGGGUGAGAAUCCCGUAUUUGACCUUUACUUUCAACUUUGUGAUACACUUUCAAAGAGUCGGAUUGUUUGGGAAUGCAGUCCAAAAUGGGUGGUAAAUUUCAUCUAAAGCUAAAUAUUGGCGAGAGACCGAUAGCGAACAAGUACCGUGAGGGAAAGAUGAAAAGAACUUUGAAAAGAGAGUUAAACAGUACGUGAAAUUGUCAAAAGGGAAGCGCUUGACACCAGUGUUGUUUUUCUGAAAAUCAAUUAAAGAACUGUUUAUGCUAAGUUGUUUAGACUUUAUCAGCUAUCUGUUUAGUUUUGAGCUUUUCUUUAAUGCACUUUUCAGUUAACAAGUCAACAUCAAUUUCUUUUGCUGUAAAAAAGCUUGAGGAAGGUGGCUUGAGAUUCGUCUUAAGUGUUUAUAGCCUCUUGCCUAUGCAGUCGGAGAGAUUGAGGUCUGCAGCGUAGAUCCUUCGGGGCUAAAUGCAUUUGUGCUAAGUUAUAGCAUUUUAUAGACAACUUGUUGACUAUGAUUUGUCUUGUAGCUUACUCGCUUAUGUUAUUUUACCUACGCUUAGGAUGUUGAGUCGUAGAGCACGCAG
Molecule: ribosomal RNA, 774 nt
Filed under: uncultured Neocallimastigales
Lineage: Eukaryota; Fungi; Neocallimastigomycota; Neocallimastigomycetes; Neocallimastigales
Description: partial large subunit ribosomal RNA
Rfam family: Eukaryotic large subunit ribosomal RNA
Source: RNAcentral